UUUUUCGUGUAAGUAUGUCCCGUGCAAUAUUUGGAAUAUACUUAUACUAAAA
Canis lupus familiaris (dog) is the source of this 52-nucleotide non-coding RNA. NCBI's taxonomy places the organism in Eukaryota, Metazoa, Chordata, Mammalia, Carnivora, Canidae. The record is from Rfam.